RNAcentral lists this unclassified non-coding RNA (343 nucleotides) under soil metagenome. RNAcentral's name for it is "partial contains 5.8S ribosomal RNA, internal transcribed spacer 2, and large subunit ribosomal RNA". The stretch from base 1 to 120 matches the Rfam family "5.8S ribosomal RNA", at positions 35 to 154 of the family's 154-position model. The record is from RNAcentral.
GAUGAAGAACGUAGCGAAAUGCGAUAAGUAAUGUGAAUUGCAGAAUCCAGUGAGUCAUCGAAUCUUUGAACGCACAUUGCGCCCGCCAGCAUUCUGGCGGGCAUGCCUGUUCGAGCGUCAUUUCAACCCUCGACCUCCCCUUGGGGAGGUCGGCGUUGGGGACCGGCAGCACACCGCCGGCCCUGAAAUGGAGUGGCGGCCCGUCCGCGGCGACCUCUGCGUAGUAAUACAGCUCGCACCGGAACCCCGACGCGGCCACGCCGUAAAACACCCAACUUCUGAACGUUGACCUCGAAUCAGGUAGGACUACCCGCUGAACUUAAGCAUAUCAAUAAGCGGAGGA